RNAcentral lists this ribosomal RNA (494 nucleotides) under uncultured bacterium. Its description in RNAcentral is "partial 16S ribosomal RNA". It matches the Rfam family "Bacterial small subunit ribosomal RNA", at positions 28 to 507 of the family's 1533-position model. The record is from RNAcentral.
GACGAACGCUGGCGGCGUGCUUAACACAUGCAAGUCGAACGGAAAGGCCUGCUUUCCCUUGUGGAUUGCGGGUACUCGAGUGGCGAACGGGUGAGUAACACGUGAGUGAUCUGCCCCCAACUUGGGUAUAAGCCUGGGAAACUGGGUCUAAUUCCCGAUAGGACUGCAGGGUGGUGCCUGUGGUGGAAAACGAUUUUCUAGUGGUUGGGGAUGAGCUCGCGGCCUAUGAGCUUGUUGGUGGGGUAAUGGCCUACCAAGGCGGCGACGGGUAGCCGGCCUGAGAGGGUGGACGGCCACAUUGGGACUGAGAUACGGCCCAGACUCCUACGGGAGGCAGCAGUGGGGAAUAGUGCACAAUGGGCGGAAGCCUGAUGCAGCGACGCCGCGUGGGGGAUGACGGCCUUCGGGUUGUAAACUCCUUUCGACCGCGAGGAAGCCACCUGGUUGGAAGGGUGGUGACGGUAGUGGUAGAAGAAGCACCGGCUAACUACGUG